UACAGAGGUCUCAAGCGUUGUUCGGAUUCAUUGGGCGUAAAGGGUGCGUAGGCGGUGAGGUAAGUCGGAUGUGAAAUCCCGGGGCUCAACCCCGGAACUGCAUUCGAUACUGCCUUGCUUGAGCACUGGAGAGGAGACUGGAAUUUACGGUGUAGCAGUGAAAUGCGUAGAUAUCGUAAGGAAGACCAGUGGCGAAGGCGAGUCUCUGGACAGUUGCUGACGCUGAGGCACGAAAGCCAGGGGAGCAAACGGG
Molecule: ribosomal RNA, 253 nt
Filed under: uncultured bacterium
Lineage: Bacteria
Description: partial 16S ribosomal RNA
Rfam family: Bacterial small subunit ribosomal RNA
Source: RNAcentral